AGUGAACGCUGGCGGUAGGCCUAACACAUGCAAGUCGAACGGCAGCACAGGAGAGCUUGCUCUCUGGGUGGCGAGUGGCGGACGGGUGAGGAAUACAUCGGAAUCUACUUUUUCGUGGGGGAUAACGUAGGGAAACUUACGCUAAUACCGCAUACGACCUACGGGUGAAAGCAGGGGACCUUCGGGCCUUGCGCGAUUGAAUGAUCCGAUGUCGGAUUAGCUAGUUGGCAGGGUAAAGGCCCACCAAGGCGACGAUCCGUAGCUGGUCUGAGAGGAUGAUCAGCCCAACUGGAACUGAGACACGGUCCAGACUCCUACGGGAGGCAGCAGUGGGGAAUAUUGGACAAUGGGCGCAAGCCUGAUCCAGCCAUACCGCGUGGGUGAAGAAGGCCUUCGGGUUGUAAAGCCCUUUUGUUGGGAAAGAAAUCCAGCUGGCUAAUACCCGGUUGGGAUGACGGUACCCAAAGAAUAAGCACCGGCUAACUUCGUGCCAGCCGCCGCCGUAA
This 506-nucleotide ribosomal RNA is filed under the name uncultured bacterium. Its description in RNAcentral is "partial 16S ribosomal RNA". It matches the Rfam family "Bacterial small subunit ribosomal RNA", at positions 29 to 523 of the family's 1533-position model. The record is from RNAcentral.